UACGUAGGUGGCAAGCGUUAUCCGGAAUUAUUGGGCGUAAAGCGCGCGUAGGCGGUUUUUUAAGUCUGAUGUGAAAGCCCACGGCUCAACCGUGGAGGGUCAUUGGAAACUGGAAAACUUGAGUGCAGAAGAGGAAAGUGGAAUUCCAUGUGUAGCGGUGAAAUGCGCAGAGAUAUGGAGGAACACCAGUGGCGAAGGCGACUUUCUUGUCUGUAACUGACGCUGAUGUGCGAAAGCGUGGGGAUCAAACAGGAUUAGAUACCCCGGUAGUCC
Molecule: ribosomal RNA, 273 nt
Filed under: uncultured Staphylococcus sp.
Lineage: Bacteria; Bacillati; Bacillota; Bacilli; Caryophanales; Staphylococcaceae
Description: partial 16S ribosomal RNA
Rfam family: Bacterial small subunit ribosomal RNA
Source: RNAcentral